This is a non-coding RNA of Myotis lucifugus (little brown bat), 126 nucleotides long. The record is from Rfam. Lineage: Eukaryota; Metazoa; Chordata; Mammalia; Chiroptera; Vespertilionidae.
AUCGCUUCUCGGCCUUUUGGCUAAGAUCAAGUGUAGUAUCUGUUCUUAAAUGAUUACUUCUCUCUCGGCCUCUGACUUGCAAGUGAAAAAAAGCAAGAAAAGACCAAGCUUUGGCAUCAAACAAUU